This 75-nucleotide transfer RNA is filed under the name Capra hircus (goat). It matches the Rfam family "tRNA". From Rfam's summary of the family: Transfer RNA (tRNA) molecules are approximately 80 nucleotides in length. Lineage: Eukaryota; Metazoa; Chordata; Mammalia; Artiodactyla; Bovidae. RNAcentral also lists the same sequence under 1 other name. The record is from Rfam by way of RNAcentral.
UCCCUGGCAGUCCAGUGUGGUUAGGAUUCUGCACUUUCACUGCUGAGGGCCUGGGUUCAAUCCCUGGUCAGGGAG